Molecule: long non-coding RNA, 1007 nt
Filed under: Chrysemys picta bellii (western painted turtle)
Lineage: Eukaryota; Metazoa; Chordata; Testudines; Emydidae
Description: lncRNA (ENSCPBG00000017355.1)
Source: RNAcentral
AAGGGACGAUGCAACAAACGGAUUGUCCGGUGCUCUCGGGACUCCCCGUCCAGCCCCUUGCGAGGGAGACGUCUGCAGCCAACGAGGGAACGUCCACGUCCGUCUUUGUAGUGCCUGGGGACCCAGCCUCUCUCCCCGCCAUCUCAGACUCACCGGGAGGCCCCAGCGCCGUGGGUUCUGCUCCUCCGUCUUCAGCUGGCGAGAGAGUUCCCAUCCCACCUGUAGCUACAGAAGGAAGAGGGGACGCGGCUGGUUCCGCAUCCGCAGCCCACGAGGAAACCACCGCCUCUAACCCCGGUGCCCAGCAUGCAGAGGUGAGUCCAGCACACGGGGCAGAGCUGCCCCCAGGCGAAAGAGGCACCUGGGCCAAUGCUGAGACCUCCCCAUAUUCGUCCUUAGGGGAUGGGAGAGCCACAGGAAUACACGCGCCGUCGGGGGAAACAACCCCAGCUGCCUUUGCCUCUCCCGGUGAAACUGCUGCUGGGCCCUCAGCUUCACAGACUGCACGGCCAGGACCUUUGUUUUCUAGUGCCCCGGUGCCCUCCCCCUCCUCUCCCGAGAGGCCGACAGUACUUGGGCCCGCUGGGGUUACGAAAGAAGCAGCCCUCUCUGCCGGUGACUCAGGAGUCCCCGCGGCAUUCCCAGGACUGGAGGCAGUGACCGGGCGACCACUAACGACAGUACGGCUGGCCACCUCUUGUACUUCCGCUGCCACGGGAUCCCACGCCCCUUCCCUCCAUUCGGAGAAGGGGAAAACGCCCCCAGAACGGGGGGCUAAUCUGGGUUUGGCUGGUGCGUCCCAUGUGCCAGCUGCCACCACUCCAGCACCCUCCAGAGGACGGGCAGCAACACCGUUCCCCCUCUUGGGAACAACAGCCCCUCCGUCCGAUACUAGAGCAGGGUUUGACCAGGAGAGAACAGCGUCGGUGUCAGCUGGGACCAGAGAGGCCACUACAAGUGGGACAGGACAGUCAGCAACAGGUAAGCCACCUCCCAUGAAUUUCUGA